AAAAAACCAAGGAACUUUGAAGAGACUAAAGGCUAUAUUCUAAGGCAUUUCAGACUCUAAUGGUUUAUAAAAUUAUCUGUAUUCUAUUGCAUUUUUUGUUUAAGAUAUAACUUUGUGAUUUUAAGUUCAUAUAUUACUGGAUUGAAUAUUAUUCUGUGAACUGAAGGUUGAUUGAAUUUAUUUUGAAUGUACUGAGUUUUGAAAUUCUGUUGUUUUCCCCCUAUAACUGUGUUGAAAAAAUAUUAUUGUGAAUAAGCCCAUAUAUGAAAAAACAGCUUUUUUUCUAUUUUGCUGAGGAUAGAUGGACUUCAGAACUGGUUAUAAUUGUAUUAACAACCUUUGGAAAAUUUAAUGUGCUAAAUACCUCAAAUGAUUUGAUUUUAAGGGUUUUUUAAAUAUGAUUUUGGAAUUUUUUUUUAACAGUCUGGUUAUUUUUGCCUGCCCCUACCAUGAGGUAAGGCCCAUUCUAGUAGCUGAAGUGAAAUGUAUUUUAUAACCCCCAACCUUCCCACAUGUGAAUGGAAGUUGGGCAGUUAAUUUCAGGGCAUUUGUACCCUUGGGAAAAGCCUCCAAGAACAAGGAGCACCCCUUUAUUUAUGCUCUUCAGCUCACUAUUUUACUUCUACCAGGAUGAUAUAUAGAUUUCUUGAUUAUGUUCUAAACCCAAGAUGAGUUUUACUUUGUUUUAAAAUAUGUUUAAAUACCAAGGUUGAAGGAUUGCUACGUUUGUAAAAAUUGUGACAAAUGUCCAUCAAUUCAUAGGUUUUAAAAAUGUCAUACAGCAACUUAUGUGAAAUAUGAAAGUGUGUUUGUUUGCUAUUGUAAUUAAUUGGGCUAUUGAGAAUUUUGGGGAUUUUGAUAUCUACAUAUUUGUACUACUGUAUUUUUAAAGAUGAAAAAAUUGUUAACCUUGUUCAAUUCAUUUGCCUUCUACCUCACAGUGAUCAUGGCCAGAUACAAAGAGGAAAUGGAUCUCAUUUUUUGGACAAGAUAUACACAAAAGAGCCACUGCAUAGUGCCAAUAGAGCAUAAGGUCAAAGAGACCAACCAAUCCUGGAGAAAUUGACGUCACUUUGAGCCUAGACAAAGAGGACUUGAACGUGUUUGGGGUUCGAGGUUGCGGCUGUUUAACAUGUGUUAAAAGCAGGUCUUCCUUGUUCCACAUUCUACCAAGUACCUCAAACUUGGCUCCCGGAACCUUGGCUUAUAUACUCUGGUCCCCUUUUCUGCCUCUCAUAGUGUGGUACCUUUCUGUAGUCCUGGCACUGACUGGGUAAAUGCAUCAUUACUUAGAUCAUUUUGAUUGGGCUCUAAUUGAAGGACCUGUUAUAGAUUUAUUUUUCUUCUACUUGGAAUUUUUACACAUAAGACUUUGAUAGUCUAUAUUUUCAUCCAGAAAUUUUUCUUUUCUUUUGGAUUUUCUGAUGUCUUUUUAAUAUCUCUUGCCAAUUGAUUCAUAUACCUCAUACCUCAGCCAUGCAUCCCUAACUGAUUCUGAAUCUUUCAAUCACCCACAACACGGGGGAAUGUAAAAAAUAUCAUUAUUUAAAUUGCAAAGUUUAAAUUCCUUUUGAGAAGAAUUUUAGGUGAAGAAGAUGCUACCUCUCUGAAUCCAGAACUGAACUGAUGGAGAAGCCACCAUGAAGAAGCCUCCAGACCACAAGUUGCACAAAAUUGAACUUUGGGUGUGGUUGAUUGAACAUUUAUUUGUAUGUAUACUUUUAUG
Molecule: long non-coding RNA, 1726 nt
Filed under: Monodelphis domestica (gray short-tailed opossum)
Lineage: Eukaryota; Metazoa; Chordata; Mammalia; Didelphimorphia; Didelphidae
Description: lncRNA (ENSMODG00000051419.1)
Source: RNAcentral